Molecule: ribosomal RNA, 469 nt
Filed under: uncultured bacterium
Lineage: Bacteria
Description: bacterial SSU rRNA
Rfam family: Bacterial small subunit ribosomal RNA
Source: RNAcentral
CUAGCGGAGGCCUAACACAUGCAAGCCGAGCGGUAGAGAUUUCUUCGGAAUCUUGAGAGCGGCGUACGGGUGCGGAACACGUGUGCAACCUACCUUUAUCUGGAGGAUAGCCUUUCGAAAGGAAGAUUAAUACUCAUAAUAUAUUGAUUGGCAUCAAUUGAUAUUGAAAGCUCCGGCGGAUAGAGAUGGGCACGCGCAAGAUUAGUUAGUUGGUGAGGUAACGGCUCACCAAGACGAUGAUCUUUAGGGGCCUGAGAGGGUGAUCCCCCACACUGGUACUGAGACACGGACCAGACUCCUACGGGAGGCAGCAGUGAGGAAUAUUGGUCAAUGGGUGCAAGCCUGAACCAGCCAUCCCGCGUGAAGGACGACUGCCCUAUGGGUUGUAAACUUCUUUUGUAUAGGGAUAAACCUACCCUCGUGAGGGUAGCUGAAGGUACUAUACGAAUAAGCACCGGCUAACUCCGUG